Ictalurus punctatus (channel catfish) is the source of this 904-nucleotide long non-coding RNA. The record is from Ensembl. Lineage: Eukaryota; Metazoa; Chordata; Actinopteri; Siluriformes; Ictaluridae.
AUCUUCAUCAUCAUCAUCAUCAUCAUCAUCAUCAUCAUCAUCAGAUCAGAAUGCUGUGUUUGAUGGUCAUUGGAUUUCUUUUAUCCUGUGCAGAUUGUACCAAGUCAUAUGAGAAAAAUAUUCUACACCAGAUGAACAGAACUGCUUUUAAGGGGGAAACUGUUGUUUUUCACUGCAAUGGAACUCUGACUAGUGAACUUAAAGAUAUUGGUUGGCGUAAAGAUAGGAAUGGUAUUUUUAUCCACAGCUCAGUUACAAACCAAAGUGUGUUCAACUACACAUCGAGCAGGAUGCAGGUUAAUCCCCGAAAUCCAAGAGAACUGCAGAUAUCUGAUGUACAGCUUUCAGAUAAAGGAUUAUACUUAUGUUUUCCAUUAGACAUGCAGUGGAUAUUGACCAUAGAAGCUUUAUCUUUUGACACCACAGAGAAUGAAAUACAGACCAGCAAAGGAAGGCUAUCCUACAUAGUUUUCUCAGUAAUCACAGUGUGUGUCUCAGUGUGUCUCUUUAUCUUCUGUGCCGUGUGUCUUCACAGAAAACAAGAAAACAGAGGAGCCUCAGAUCAAACACACACGGGCAAUAAGCUUGCAAACACAGAUUCUCUCCAUCACAGUGAGACAAUAACUUCCUGUGUCUACAUCAUGACAAGCUCAAAUAAUGUUGCCAUAGACUAAAAUUGAGCAACAUGUCGCCAUCACGUCCUUCUACAGAAAUGUUUCUAUGAUGCUCAUAUUCACAGGCAUAUAAACCUUUUUACUGUGCAAUGAAAUCUGGAUAAUUAAAACAUUUAGAAAACAGUCUUGUCAUAUGUUUGUUGCUCAAAUAUAACAGUCAAAUGCUUAUUGAAAAAAAAAAAAGGAAUAAAGUUUAAAGAACGCUUAAUUAGAUUAGUGGAAAAACUGCA